GAUCCUGGCUCAGGAUGAACGCUGGCGGCGUGCCUAAUACAUGCAAGUCGAACGAAGCACUUCGGUGCUUAGUGGCGAACGGGUGAGUAACACGUAGGCAACCUGCCCAUAUGACUGGGAUAACAGUUGGAAACGACUGCUAAUACCGGAUAGGUAAUAGGGUGGCAUCAUCUUAUUAUUAAAGUUGUGAUACACAUAUGGAUGGACCUGCGGUGCAUUAGUUAGUUGGUGAGGUAACGGCCCACCAAGACGAUGAUGCAUAGCCGACCUGAGAGGGUGACCGGCCACACUGGGACUGAGACACGGCCCAGACUCCUACGGGAGGCAGCAGUAGGGAAUUUUCGGCAAUGGGGCAACCCUGACCGAGCAACGCCGCGUGAGUGAUGAAGGUCUUCGGAUUGUAAAGCUCUGUUGUAAGGGAAGAACGUUAGUGAUAGUAUCAUUAAGUGACGGUACCUUACCAGAAAGUCACGGCUAACUACGUGCC
Molecule: ribosomal RNA, 487 nt
Filed under: uncultured bacterium
Lineage: Bacteria
Description: bacterial SSU rRNA
Rfam family: Bacterial small subunit ribosomal RNA
Source: RNAcentral